Molecule: ribosomal RNA, 871 nt
Filed under: Lozekia deubeli
Lineage: Eukaryota; Metazoa; Mollusca; Gastropoda; Stylommatophora; Hygromiidae
Description: partial 16S ribosomal RNA
Source: RNAcentral
AUUUAUUAAAAAUAAAAAAAAUUGGAAUACACGAAUUAGUUUGAUCUAAUUAAAUAUAUAUUUUAGUAUAUAGUUUAAAUGUUUCAAUAUUUAAUCAAUAUUUUUAAUUAGGGGUGAAAUACUAUACAAAUACUAGGAUAUCUUGAAGUAUAAUAAAAAUAUUAAGUAUUUUAAGACAACUAUAAAGUGAUUAGGCUUUAUAGAAUGCAUAAUUUAUAUUAAAUUUAAUUAUAUAAAAUAUAUAACUAUAGUUAUACAUAUAAAAUGAAUAUACAAUAUAUAUAUAUAUGGUAUAUUAUUAUAUUAUAGAUGAUAAUAAUUAUAUCUAGAUAUAAUGUAAAUAUUAGUAAUUUAAUAGAUUUUUUAGAGGAAUUCGGCAAAAUUUAGUUUUUCAACUGUUUACCAAAAACAUUGCUUUAUGUAUAAAAUAAUAUAAAGUUAAUCCUGCUCAAUGGAUUUCUAAAUAGCCGCAGUACAUUGACUGUGCAAAGGUAGCAUAAUAAAUUGGCUUAUAAUUGAAGUCUGGUAUGAAAGGGUUUUUGAAAAUAUACUGUCUUUAAUAUAAUAUUUGAAAUUAAUUAAAAAGUGAAAAUGCUUUUAUGAUAUUUAUUAGACGAGAAGACCCUAGAAAUUUUUAUAUAAUUAUUAUAAAAAUAUAAUAUUUAUUUUGUUGGGGCGACAUAGUAACACAUAAACUUACUUAAUAAUAUAAGAAAAUUUUGUAAAGAAUAAAUAAAUUACUCUAGGGAUAACAGCAUAAUAUACAAAAGUUUGUGACCUCGAUGUUGGACUAGGAAAUAUAAUGUUUAGAAGAUAUUAUACUAAGCUCUGUUCGAGCUAUAUACCCCUACAUGAUCUGAGUUCAGACCGG